This 471-nucleotide long non-coding RNA is filed under the name Bos indicus x Bos taurus (hybrid cattle). RNAcentral describes it as "lncRNA (ENSBIXG00000009221.1)". The record is from RNAcentral. Lineage: Eukaryota; Metazoa; Chordata; Mammalia; Artiodactyla; Bovidae.
GGCUUUCAAACGCUGAUGGAUGGUAAUGGAUGGUAAUAAGUACCCCAGCCUCCUUGCCCUUGGGUGGACCAAUCCAGAGGCUCUUAUCAGGACCAGCCUGAUUCAUUUCAGGUGUACGCAGUCCCUCCCUUCCGUCUCUCUCUUUCACUCCGCCAUCUUCCCGCUGGUGAUGUCUUGGGCAAAGCUGAGCAGCUUUUUUGGAAAGAUAAUCUGCCUGAGCGGAAGCCGGCGUCAUUUGAAACAAAUCCCUGAAGUCACUGACUGUGAGUUGCUGAAGAAAUCAGACGUGUGUGUUACAACCAGCCAUGGAGAAGGGAAUAGCAACCCACUCCAGUAUUCUUGCCUGGAGAAUCCCUUGAACAGAGGAGCCUGUUGAGCUAUAGUCCAUGGAGUUGCAAAGAAUCGGACAUGACUGAGCAACUAACAAACACAACCAGCAAAGUUGUUAAAGGUAGGACAUGAGGUGCUUGU